GGCAGUUUCCUGAUCUUCUGGAUAUGCUGCCACGCUGUCCCAGGGCUGGUGGUGUCCCCUGACUUGUUCCUCUCCUGACUUUCUCAGCCUGGAGACUGAAAGCUCUCUUUGGCUGUUGGCCCUCCCAGGCAGAGUCCACUGGCUGUUAGGGUGAAAUGGGGCUGAUGCUUCCUGGAAUCCACCAGAAGUAUGCAAAUUGCACCAUCUCUUUCAGCUGCCUGCGCCUGCAUUCCAUCGAGGAUUCCGGGCAUGAGCCAUGCUGGUCUUCCAGCUGACCCUCAGACGUGCCAAGCCCAUUCCUGCUUCUAGGACUCGGGACUUGCU
RNAcentral lists this long non-coding RNA (324 nucleotides) under Homo sapiens (human). RNAcentral describes it as "non-protein coding lnc-ST7L-2:2". The record is from RNAcentral. Lineage: Eukaryota; Metazoa; Chordata; Mammalia; Primates; Hominidae.